AGAGUUUGAUCCUGGCUCAGGAUGAACGCUGGCGGCGUGCUUAACACAUGCAAGUCGAGCGAAGCGCUCACGCGGAAUUUUUCGGAAGGAAGCGGGAGUGACUUAGCGGCGGACGGGUGAGUAACGCGUGGGUAACCUGCCCCAUACCGGGGGAUAACGGUUAGAAAUGACCGCUAAUACCGCUUAAGCGCGCGAGGCCGCAUGGCCGCGCGCGAAAAACUCCGGUGGUAUGGGAUGGGCCCGCGUCUGAUUAGGUAGUUGGCGGGGUAAGGGCCCACCAAGCCGACGAUCAGUAGCCGACCUGAGAGGGUGGCCGGCCACAUUGGGACUGAGACACGGCCCAAACUCCUACGGGAGGCAGCAGUGGGGAAUAUUGCGCAAUGGGGGAAACCCUGACGCAGCAACGCCGCGUGAGUGAGGAAGUAUCUCGGUAUGUAAAGCUCUAUCAGCGGGGAAGAAAGAGGACGGUACCCGACUAAGAAGCCCCGGCUAACUACGUGCCAGCAGCCGCGGUAAUACGUAGGGGGCGAGCGUUAUCCGGAUUUACUGGGUGUAAAGGGAGCGUAGACGGCGUCGCAAGUCUGAAGUGAAAGCCCGUGGCUCAACCGCGGAACCGCUUUGGAAACUGCGAGGCUGGAGUGCUGGAGAGGUAAGCGGAAUUCCUGGUGUAGCGGUGAAAUGCGUAGAUAUCAGGAGGAACACCGGUGGCGAAGGCGGCUUACUGGACAGUGACUGACGUUGAGGCUCGAAAGCGUGGGGAGCGAACAGGAUUAGAUACCCUGGUAGUCCACGCCGUAAACGAUGAAU
Molecule: ribosomal RNA, 807 nt
Filed under: uncultured bacterium
Lineage: Bacteria
Description: bacterial SSU rRNA
Rfam family: Bacterial small subunit ribosomal RNA
Source: RNAcentral